RNAcentral lists this ribosomal RNA (38 nucleotides) under Sebacina sp. UBCtraSeq49. RNAcentral's name for it is "partial 28S ribosomal RNA". Lineage: Eukaryota; Fungi; Basidiomycota; Agaricomycetes; Sebacinales; Sebacinaceae. RNAcentral also lists the same sequence under 1 other name. The record is from RNAcentral.
UUGACCUCAAAUCGGGUGGGACUACCCGCUGAACUUAA